Molecule: small RNA, 142 nt
Filed under: Mytilus galloprovincialis (Mediterranean mussel)
Lineage: Eukaryota; Metazoa; Mollusca; Bivalvia; Mytilida; Mytilidae
Source: RNAcentral
GCUCUUUGGUCGGGUUGUUGUCUCUUCGACACAUUCCCCAUUUCCAUUUUCAAUUUUAUGCUGAAUAUAAAUUGAAUAAUAAAUCUUAAAAUUGAAAGUGGAAAUGGAGAAUGUGUCUAAGAGACCCAACCUGACCAAAAUA